GAUGUACUCGGUCAACGACCUAUGGUCGU
This 29-nucleotide small RNA is filed under the name Bombyx mori (domestic silkworm). RNAcentral's name for it is "ovarian small RNA-16167". The record is from RNAcentral. Lineage: Eukaryota; Metazoa; Arthropoda; Insecta; Lepidoptera; Bombycidae.